CUUAAGCAAUGACUACAGGACAGUCAAACCAAAAUGAGCAAUCUGGGAGUCUAUGCCUAGUGGUAGUGUUUUGUAAAAGUAUGGACCAAAUUCCAUAUAGCUGUCCUACAAAUUAAAAAAUAAGGAUUUUUUCAAAUUGACAGCAGCAGCUUUUUGAGCUCUGGCGGAACAAGCUUUUAUGGGGCUAGAUGAGGCUUUCAUGCUUUGAGACAUAAUGUUCUGAAUUUCAGCUGAACAGCUUCUUUCAGGUGAAGCAAUCUAGCCAGCAUUCAGGCUGUUGAACAUAAGGAAGCUGGGUCCAGGUGUAGGAUCUCACAGUUUUUCUGAGAGACUACUGGGGAGGGCCAACAAAGUGAUUGCACUGGGGAUGCUGGGGGGACUGCACUGAGAGGUUCAUCAGAACCAAACUGUCUGGUCCAUGCUGUGGGUAUCCUAAUAAAAUCAUUCUGUGUCAUGCCUACAUACAGCAAUCCCAGUGUCUAAAGGAUGAGAUAGGUGGCUAUGUCAGUGAACCUAGGAAUGUACCACCUCUCGAAGAAAAUGUCGUCUUGUUGUGAUCAGUGACAAAACACGUCUUGCUGGGAACUCCAACUUGUAAAAGAUGUUCUGUAGAACUGUGCCUUUGACUGACCACUUGUGGUUAUCUGAGAACUGCUUGCUGAGUUGGUAUGCAAGAUGUUCUCAAGGCUGGGAAGGUAGAGUCACUGGUGGCAUUUGAUUCAGAAUGCAAAUUCCAGAGUUGAGUGGCCGCCUGACACAGUGGAGACCGUCUGUGGUCUGAUUAUGAAAUCUGAAAUAAUGCACAGCUGUAGUAUUUUCUGUCAACAUUUGGAUUGUGGAUUCGUGUUAAGGUAUGCCAGCCAGGUAGCUUUAAGCCAUAGGAUGUUUACAUGGGAAUUAGCUUCCAGAGGGGACCAAGGCGUCAAGUUUGAAGGUGAUCUAGAUGAGCUCCCCAUCCCUGAGUGACACUCUAUUAUCAAGACACAGGUGCAGAGGGGAUGUUCUGUUCUACACCUGAAGAAGAUCUUUCCACUAGUUUAAUAAGGAGAUGACUUCUUGAAGGACUGUAAGGAUCAUGUCCAUGUGGUAGCUGCUGGGUUAAUACACUGAUUUUAGCCACCCUUGCACACAGCACAGGUCAACUGUGUCAAGUAGAUGCAUGGGGCAGUGUCUCCCAAGAGUCUGAGGGACGUUCUCAGUGGUGCCUUUGGGUAAGCUUUACGUUGACUUAUGUUCAUUGUAGUUUGGAAUUUCUCUCAUUGGAGGUAAGCUUUCAAUGACCUGGAAUCUAACAGUGUUCCUAUGAAAUCUAUGCUUUGAGUUGGAAUAAGUGUGGGUUUCUCUCUUUUUGGCUUUGAGGCCCAAGAUGGCAAACAGCUCUAAAGUUAUUUGAGUUGAGUUUGUCACAGUAGAUCUACUUAGAAUCAGCUACUCACUGAGGUAAGGGUAGAACUGGAUCCUUUGUCGUCUCAGAUGAUCUGCCAAAACUGUUACACCCUUGGUGCUGUUGAAAGACCAAAGGACAAGACUCUGUACCAGCAGUGAGGCCUUCUUCCUAGGAACCUGGGAUGUUUCAGAUGAAUGGAUGUGACAGUAACUCCCUUGGAGGUAGAGAGCCCAGAGCCAGUCUGAAGCUCUAACAAAGGAAUUAUGGAAGCCCGAGUCACCAUCCUGAACUUGAAAUGAUGGAUGAAUUUGUUAAGAUACCAACCCCCUUUCUUUGGGAUGAGAAAGUAAUGGGAAUUUUUAGUGUACCUCUACUGCUCCCAGUUUGUAAAAAAGGUUCAGCUGUAUCUUGUGAAAAAAGACAAUGGGGUUUGAAAGAAAGGUCAGUGGAUAUGAAGGAACUGGAACUAGAUAGAAUAUGGCAUUUACAAUUUUUAGGACAUACUGGUCUGAAGUGAUCUAGGCUACCUGAAAAUAAAAAAAGGGAGCGGCCAAUGGGGAGGGAGGGUGAUGAUCCUGGCUGAAUAUCCAGACUGUUCAGGGGCCGAGGAAGAGGCUUUGAGUUGUCUUCACUAGAACCUGCUUCCUUCUUGGGAGCUCCAACAUCCUCAUGGGUUGGUACUAGUAAAAGGCAGAGGGAUGCCGCCUGAAAGAAGACUGUUGUCUUGCUUCCUUCUUUCAUGGUGCUAGAACAUACAAACCCUAUGAAUCCACAUUCAUGGAAUACCAUGACCUGGUAUUCUUUAACAAGUGGAGGACCUCAUCCAUUUUGAAUUAAAAAAAGUUCACUACCCUCAAGUGAAAGUCCUCAGUUGUAGUUUGGACCUUCCUGGAGAUCCCAGAGGACUGGAGCCAAGAUGACACACUCAUUGAAAAUGAGAGUAUUUAAAUCCCUUGGAAAGGACCUUUUUGUCAAAUUGCCUGGAUGUGGCCAGUAUUGUGUUAACACAUGCCACAGGUUCUUUAAAGGCUCCAACAGAAUUUCAUUUACUGGCAUAGCAAGUGUGCAAAACGAGGAAGGGAUGCAAGAUAUCCAGGAGCUUGCGGGACUUCUCCUGAACCACUUGUCGUGGAAUAUCCAGUGUCUCUGCCAUGCAUUUGAGGUCCUGGAAUGCCUUAAAGUUAUCCACUGAGGCAGGCAUAGAUGGGGUUAAUUGUCUCAUCAUGGGAGGAUGAGGAGAGCAGGGUGCCAGUAGUUCUUCCCCUUGUGGCUGUUGUUCCUCAUCACUUUUCUUCUGUCUUUUUAAGAUCUGAGGCUACACUAAUUGCCCUGGCUAUGUUGGUCUAUACUACCUCUUUGGGAAGAGGGAUCCUGGAGGAACAUGUGGAAAAUUACUCGAAGAAAAAUGCCUGAUUAGUUGGGUGACCAUGUAUUCCAACAGCAGUGACCAGAAUAUUACACAUUGACUGAUUCAAGCAAUGCCAAAUGAACUAAAGCUAUACAAGAAGUUAGCUACCAGCUGGGGAUGGUGGUAAAGCAAUGUAAAGAGAUUAAGCCUAAUGUGAUACUAAUGAGCUGGAUUAUAUUAAUUCUGUUAAGAGUAUGCUUUGGAAGAUAGUCAGUUCCAGUAGGUUGUGAUGGUGUCAUAGAAGCUGUCUUACUCCUGGGAACAUCAGCCACCCAGGAUGCCUGGUACUUGCUCUCACAUGACCUGUGGAUGAUGUUCAGCUAAGGAAUGUACCUGUUGGUCAACCGGGAGCCAUUAUGUAAUCUUUUAGACCAUUGGCUUAUUAUGCUUGUCUUGCUGCUAGAACCUAUCCAGAGGCUCGGGACACCCACCCCAUCGCGUCUCUCCACUCAAUGAGCUAUGCGUAAUAAACCCUUGUGCUUGGCUCUACAUUGUGUCCAUUUCUGUUCCUUCAAUAUCAUUGGUCAAUCUGAACAAAACAAGUUAUAAAAUUCACCCCAAUCGUGAUUGAUAAGUGGACAUUGCUAUAAUUUAUAUCUAGAACUAAAAUAAAACAUACCUUUUUU
Molecule: RNA transcript, 3421 nt
Organism: Caretta caretta (loggerhead turtle)
Lineage: Eukaryota; Metazoa; Chordata; Testudines; Cheloniidae
Gene: TRIM59
Gene name: tripartite motif containing 59
Source: RefSeq, a predicted model, not a curated record